Molecule: long non-coding RNA, 226 nt
Filed under: Lathyrus oleraceus (garden pea)
Lineage: Eukaryota; Viridiplantae; Streptophyta; Magnoliopsida; Fabales; Fabaceae
Description: Pisum sativum (pea) long non-coding RNA (PSAT_LNC026414)
Source: RNAcentral
ACAUUUUGACGUGUAUCCAUUUUCCAUAUAUCCUUGUGUAUCAAAACAUAGUAACCAUAGUCACCACUCGCAUGACCUCUUUCUCACAUGACAAAUCAAAAGACAUGAAAAUCUAGUUUAGAAAAAGUGAAAAAAAAUUGAAAGAAGAAAUUAAUUUUGUUUUUCGUAACUUCAAUUUCACUACACUCUUGUUAUUCAACUGUUCAGAUCUAUAUCAAAACUCAAG